UAUUUAUCUCCAAAAUCUACGUUCGCCAUAUUUAAGUUCAACUUCGUGUGCGCCCGCACGGAUGUUUCUGAAGACAGCGUAAAUGAUAAUAAAACGGCUAAUGUGGUGUUUUAUAACGUACGUUGUGUGGGUCAUAAAAUAUGUAAAUUUGUCAAAAAGAAGCCGGUGUGCCUUUAUCGCCACACAACUGGGGGGAAUCUUGAUCGAGAACACACCCGGAAGUAGCUCAGGCGGCUAAAUAUGGGAACUCUUCCUUGAAAUAUGGUACCAUUAGCUACAGAUGUCACGCAAUGAUGUGAAAGUUGUAUGCGGAAGACUGUGUGUCCUUGGCGGAUUUGAGAAGUAGCUCAUGCUUCUUUGACGGAGGCUGUCUGGUCUGCUGCAGCUGAGCCUCCCUGUCCGCUUCGCCAUGCCGCUGGUGGUGGACGCCGUGUGGGCGCUGUGGAGCAUCGGGGCCGGCAUCUAUGACUACUUUCACACCAGUGCCAUGGAGGAGAGGAUCCACACGCUGGAAAAUGUGCUCUCGAUCCACCAGUUUGUGAUCGCAGCCCUGUCAGCAGGCCUCAUCCUGCUCAUGACGUACAUACUGUGGAGAAAACACUGAAACCCCAUCAGCCGCGAUCCCACUCCAUGUUGUUUUUGUCACAUGAUAACUCAUGUUACCACGGCUAGUUUCCAUCCUGAUGCUGGCUGGAUUAUGUGCUCACACAACAAUCAGGACGUCCCAGAUGGGAAACUGAGCAGCAAAGCUGCAUGAGGACUCCAGCGACAUGUGGUCUCUGAAAACUCAUCUGUCUGCCUGUCUUUGUGUUUUGGAUGUUAAACUGGCCUGAGUCAUAAUAAUACAAAAUUAUAAAGCUUCUCAUGACAACUUUGCAUUGUAUGCCAAUCCUGACCGUCUAGAAAAGCCCUCUGAGUUAAUAUCCACUGAUUGAAACAUUUUCCCAGUGUGCCACGAGGGACGGAGAUGUUCAGUUAGUGACGCCAAAUUUCUCUGAAAAGCUGUAAUAACCUCAAGGUUAACGUUUUUCUCACGUUUACAAGUUAAUGUUGUUUUUACAUCUGGCCUGAGAACGUUUCACAGGUAAAUUAGGUAAAAUCGUGUCAUGGGGGAGAACCAACGGUUUGGCGUCCUAAUGUUGUCCGUCUUUAUAUUCAGUCACUGGUUCUAACUUUCAGAGUCGGUUUAAUGGUGGUGAUGAUGGUCUUGUUGCAUUGCUACCCUAAAGAUUAAAACCAGCAGUGAUUUAAAAAGUGUACAUAUGCCUUUGCCUGCUGUGGUCUGUAAUGAUCCUGGUUCCAGGUGACAGAAUAACACUGCUGACAAGUUUGAACACUGGGAAAUGAAUUCAUCCUGUGUGUGAUUUAUUCAUGCUGAGAAGAAGGGAUUGGAGGUGGAGGUUAUUCUAUUUAUUUAAUGUAAUCUGACAUGCUUUGUGUGUGUGUGUGUGUUUAAUUUGUCCGAGUUUACAUUUUUACCAACAUUGUUUCCAGUCUGUUUCAUGAAGUUGAUCGUACUGUCUAACGAUUUAAUUAAUUUCAUUGGUUACUGUCACUACUGUACCUGCUUACUCUGUGGGGUUCACCAUCAGAGUCCUGAAUGCACUACUGCGUGUUACUGACAAACCACUACCAUGGCUGCUGUUAAAGGGAAUAUGUUUGAAAAAUAAAUCAUAUCUUGAGUCCAA
Scatophagus argus is the source of this 1688-nucleotide long non-coding RNA. RefSeq lists it as uncharacterized. NCBI's taxonomy places the organism in Eukaryota, Metazoa, Chordata, Actinopteri, Scatophagidae. The transcript has 2 exons. The record is from RefSeq and is a predicted model, not a curated record.